CACAAUCAUAUUUCUGCACGCUGUGCCUGUAACUUUUACAAACAGCAGGGUCAGUGAGUGACCAAAGAUGCAGAAGCUUGGAAGCCAAUGGUCUGAAGUUGAGCUCCUGAUUGGUGAGAAAGACGCUGGCCACUUUGAAGCUACGCCAAGGUGCAGAUCAGAAGUCCUGGAGCCACCUAACAAGUACCUCUACUAUGUGUAGCAGAUCCCGAACCAACCACAGAAAUGUCCACAUCUGAAAAGAAGAAAGGCUAUCCUGAGCACGCCUCUGAUAUCUGUCACAGUAUAAUGCCUUCUCUCGACCUACUAUGUAAACAAGG
Molecule: long non-coding RNA, 320 nt
Filed under: Rattus norvegicus (Norway rat)
Lineage: Eukaryota; Metazoa; Chordata; Mammalia; Rodentia; Muridae
Description: long non-coding RNA NONRATT033340
Source: RNAcentral